RNAcentral lists this ribosomal RNA (502 nucleotides) under uncultured bacterium. RNAcentral describes it as "partial 16S ribosomal RNA". It matches the Rfam family "Bacterial small subunit ribosomal RNA", at positions 30 to 523 of the family's 1533-position model. The record is from RNAcentral.
AUUGAACGCUGGCGGAAUGCUUUACACAUGCAAGUCGAACGGCAGCACGGGUGCUUGCACCUGGUGGCGAGUGGCGAACGGGUGAGUAAUAUAUCGGAACGUACCCAUUAAUGGGGGAUAACAUAUCGAAAGAUGUGCUAAUACCGCAUACGCCCUGAGGGGGAAAGCGGGGGAUCUUAGGACCUCGCGUUAUUGGAGCGGCCGAUAUCGGAUUAGCUAGUUGGUGGGGUAAAGGCCCACCAAGGCGAAGAUCCGUAGCUGGUCUGAGAGGACGACCAGCCACACUGGAACUGAGACACGGUCCAGACUCCUGCGGGAGGCAGCAGUGGGGAAUUUUGGACAAUGGGGGAAACCCUGAUCCAGCCAUUCCGCGUGAGUGAAGAAGGCCUUCGGGUUGUAAAGCUCUUUCGCAAGGGAAGAAAACUUACAUUCUAAUAAAGUGUGAGGCUGACGGUACCUUGAUAAGAAGCACCGGCUAACUACGUGCCAGCCGCCGCCGUAA